Molecule: ribosomal RNA, 254 nt
Filed under: uncultured bacterium
Lineage: Bacteria
Description: partial 16S ribosomal RNA
Rfam family: Bacterial small subunit ribosomal RNA
Source: RNAcentral
UACGAAGGGUGCAAGCGUUACUCGGAAUUACUGGGCGUAAAGGGUGCGUAGGUGGUUUUUUAAGUCAGAUGUGAAAGCCCCGGGCUUAACCUGGGAACUGCGUUUGAAACUGGGAGACUUGAGUGUGGCAGAGGGGGGGUGGAAUUCCACGUGUAGCAGUGAAAUGCGUAGAUAUCAAGUGGAACACCAGUGGCGAAGGCGAGUCUCUGGACAUUUCCUGACGCUGAGGCACGAAAGCCAGGGGAGCAAACGGG